CCCUUAUGAUGGCUGUGCCUGGUCAGUUGCCUGGAGCUGCGUUCAAGGAUUUCCGGAACCUUAUGGAUUUACAGUGAUUCUCAGCUGCCUGGGGAA
Unclassified non-coding RNA from Ursus americanus (American black bear), 96 nucleotides. The record is from Ensembl. Lineage: Eukaryota; Metazoa; Chordata; Mammalia; Carnivora; Ursidae.